CCUUCUCUGCCAUGUUCGUGUUGUCGGUGUGAUUUUUUGGGGAGCCGAUAAGAGGUCCGCUGGGAACUUAUUAUGGUUUUGGCUGCGUGUAUAGCCGGAGGGUCUUCCCACCGGAUCACACAACCCGAAACCCAGGUUCCCCCUUUAUGACUGCGGGCUCUCACAAAACUCAUCGCCACGGCAUUGCGGUGGAGGAGUU
This 199-nucleotide non-coding RNA is filed under the name Planctomycetaceae bacterium. Its description in RNAcentral is "6S RNA". It matches the Rfam family "6S / SsrS RNA". From Rfam's summary of the family: E. coli 6S RNA was the first non coding RNA to be sequenced, but its function was unknown until recently. It consists of 184 nucleotides that fold into an extended hairpin structure with a large single-stranded internal bulge. The 6S RNA specifically associates with RNA polymerase holoenzyme containing the sigma70 specificity factor. Lineage: Bacteria; Pseudomonadati; Planctomycetota; Planctomycetia; Planctomycetales; Planctomycetaceae. The record is from RNAcentral.